GAAGGUAUAGCUCAGUGGUAGAGUGCGUGCUUAGCAUGCACGAAGUUCUGGGUUCAAUCCCAGGUACCUCCG
RNAcentral lists this transfer RNA (72 nucleotides) under Camelus bactrianus (Bactrian camel). It matches the Rfam family "tRNA". Rfam says of the family: Transfer RNA (tRNA) molecules are approximately 80 nucleotides in length. RNAcentral also lists the same sequence under 1 other name. The record is from Rfam by way of RNAcentral. Lineage: Eukaryota; Metazoa; Chordata; Mammalia; Artiodactyla; Camelidae.